GGAAGUUCUCGGGUGACAAAUCCCAGAAUUGGGCUCCCUCCUCUCUGGUUCCGGGUGCGUCACCCGAGAACCACU
Non-coding RNA from Myotis lucifugus (little brown bat), 75 nucleotides. NCBI's taxonomy places the organism in Eukaryota, Metazoa, Chordata, Mammalia, Chiroptera, Vespertilionidae. The record is from Rfam.